AGUGAACGCUGGCGGUAGGCCUAACACAUGCAAGUCGAACGGCAGCACAGUAAGAGCUUGCUCUUACGGGUGGCGAGUGGCGGACGGGUGAGGAAUACAUCGGAAUCUACUUUUUCGUGGGGGAUAACGUAGGGAAACUUACGCUAAUACCGCAUACGACCUACGGGUGAAAGCAGGGGAUCUUCGGACCUUGCGCGAUUGAAUGAGCCGAUGUCGGAUUAGCUAGUUGGCGGGGUAAAGGCCCACCUAGGCGACGAUCCGUAGCUGGUCUGAGAGGAUGAUCAGCCACACUGGAACUGAGACACGGUCCAGACUCCUACGGGAGGCAGCAGUGGGGAAUAUUGGACAAUGGGCGCAAGCCUGAUCCAGCCAUGCCGCGUGGGUGAAGAAGGCCUUCGGGUUGUAAAGCCCUUUUGUUGGGAAAGAAAAGCAGCAGGUUAAUACCCCGCUGUUCUGACGGUACCCAAAGAAUAAGCACCGGCUAACUUCGUG
This 492-nucleotide ribosomal RNA is filed under the name uncultured bacterium. RNAcentral's name for it is "partial 16S ribosomal RNA". It matches the Rfam family "Bacterial small subunit ribosomal RNA", at positions 29 to 507 of the family's 1533-position model. The record is from RNAcentral.